This 176-nucleotide ribosomal RNA is filed under the name uncultured Halomonas sp. RNAcentral's name for it is "partial 16S ribosomal RNA". It matches the Rfam family "Bacterial small subunit ribosomal RNA", at positions 160 to 342 of the family's 1533-position model. Lineage: Bacteria; Pseudomonadati; Pseudomonadota; Gammaproteobacteria; Oceanospirillales; Halomonadaceae. The record is from RNAcentral.
CUUGUGACUCCGCAUAUCGUCCUACGGGAGAAAGGGGGCUUUGGCUCCCGCUAUCGGAUGAGCCUAUGCCGGAUUAGCUGGUUGGUGAGGUAAUGGCUCACCAAGGCGACGAUCCGUAGCUGGUCUGAGAGGAUAGAUCAGCCACAUCGGGACUGAUACACGGCCCGAACUCCUAC